Molecule: long non-coding RNA, 2254 nt
Filed under: Cricetulus griseus (Chinese hamster)
Lineage: Eukaryota; Metazoa; Chordata; Mammalia; Rodentia; Cricetidae
Description: lncRNA (ENSCGRG00015041564.1)
Source: RNAcentral
GUGUCUAACCACAAUAAAAGUCCCUACCCCAUGGUGCUCGAGGUCUCUCCUGAUCUGCUGCUGCCUCAGAUGGACAGAGAGGUUCAACUUUACUUGCAAUAAAGACUCUCUGCUUUUGCAUUGGAUCAGGUCGCUUGGUGGUGUUUUGGGGAUCCAGACUUUGGGUACAACAGCUACACUUGCCUCCUCAAGCAUAUAUAAGUGAGCAGUAAGCAGACUGCUGAGAGACUCUAAGAUAAGCUGAACAGCCUGGAAGAAAUGAAGAUCAGCCAAGUUGCCUAGAAGAGAUUUGGAUCUACAGAGACACCUGAAAAGAAACCUCUCCAACCAGUUGAAGUGUUGGUAUGAAGUUUGCUAAAGUUUUCCUGUUUUUGUGACCUGUCACCCAAGAUGGGGUGGGUUUUGAUGAUUCAGCUGUUUCAGAAUCAUUCCUGCUCCUGCCUGUGGCCACAGCAUGCUGGCUGGCUUCAGAGCAACCUGUGUGUGAGUCCUGCCCUUCACCGUGCUGCCCAGCUUCUCAUCACUGUCAUCCUGUUCCUGGGAAUUCACUUGCUAAGUGAAAGUGAGACACAACUGCUCCUGGCACACCAAUUACAUCUGAGAGGAAGAUGGGCAUCCAAGUAACUCAUUAUAGAGUUUCCCUUUGACUUGGCAAGACUAGCCAUUUGGAUGACUGCUGUGCCUGCCUCAGUUGUGAAGGGAGACUUUUUCACAGUGGGUAGUGGUUACAUCAGAAACUACCAUUAUCAUAACGGGUUCAGCAACUACACUUCAGCUGAGAGAAAAGGACGGCCUAUGAGCAAAGAAACUUGUCCUAUUGGUAACCUGGCUGCCAUGGAGAGUUAUUUGUUUGCUCCAGGAUCUGUGUUCCCCACAGGGGGACUAUCAGCUGCCAUGUUGAGGCCAUGCUGUGCUGAUGGCUGAAGAUCUAUGUGCCUGGGACUGACAUCACUACGUCAGAGUGGGCUAAGACAAGAAGGAAGACUUGUUGAGUUGCAGUUGAGCACUGGUGUCAUAGACUUGGGAAGUCCACAUGAGAAAUAGGAAAUUGUGCCAUGAGAUCUGAGCCAAAAUGCAAGCUAAUGUGAUAAGAUGGAGGUGGCCAGGGUUUGGGGAGACAGAAGCAGGAAGCUGUGGUUGCUGGAGCUGAAGCUGCUUCUUGGGCUGCUGGGAAUGCUUGGGAUUUGAGACAUAUGGUAAUGCAGUAAUGCACAACACUUUUGAUGGGCCAAAGGCCGCAGUGUCUUACAGUGUAACUGUAUACCCUACAUCCAAAAAAAAAAAAAAAAAAAAAAAAAGGAGGAGGAGGUGGAAGAGAGGAAAAAAGUAGAAUCAUUUGGAAAUGUCUAAACUCAGAGGUAAGACCUCAAAGGUUAGAAAGAGCAAAGUGUCGGUGGGCUUUUCUUAACAACGGAGUGGCUGUGGCCAGAGCCAGAGCUUUGGCUCUAACUGAAUGAAUCCACUCCCACCGCCUCAGGGACAGGUGAAGACACAAAUGGAGGCACCAGGCUGCAAAGGCUAAUCUCUUUUAAUAUAAAAUGUAUACUUUCCUCAACAGAAACUCUGUCCUCAGCAUACGUCUUAGGCUUGUGGAUCUGGGGCAGGAACAGUACAGAUUCUGUAUUCAGGAGAGCGACUUACAAACUCAAACAGGGUUCACUGGAGGAACCAGUGCAAGCUUGAGAGGGACCUGAGCUUAAACUCUGUAGCUUGAAGUGGGUGGUCGAAUAAAUCAGGGAGAAUUUUUGUGUCCCCCCCCUCCCGCCCCAAGAGGCAUGGAAGCCCAUCGAGCCUGUUCCUCAUAUAAAUUGUGUCGUUUAUUUUAGCCUGAGAAGUACUAAUUAUUUUGUUGAGUCCUGGGCUUCCCUUGGAGUUCAGCUGCAAGUUUCCCCCAAUGGACAAGUUUCCCCCUCAAGGAUGAGCUGAAGGACUAAGGAAGGGAAGGCACAAGAGCCAGUUCUCACCCACGAGUAGAUGUCCUUAACACCUGUAUUAUGUACUUUUAAAUGAUUGUAGGACCGACAAGAUGGCUCAGCAGGAAAAGGCCUUUUUGUAGCAAAGCCUGGGAACCUGAGUUCAAUUUCCAGGACCUACAUGGCGGAAGGAGUUUUCCAGCAAGUUUUUCUCUGACCACAACAUAUACAUCAUCAUCAUCAUCAUCAUCAUCACACACACACACACACACACACACACACACACACACACACACACACCCCAAGUGAAUGUAAUAUACUUUAAAAAAUAAAUGGACAAC